This 1345-nucleotide ribosomal RNA is filed under the name uncultured bacterium. RNAcentral describes it as "bacterial SSU rRNA". It matches the Rfam family "Bacterial small subunit ribosomal RNA", at positions 28 to 1381 of the family's 1533-position model. The record is from RNAcentral.
GAUGAACGCUGGCGGUACGUCUAAUACAUGCAAGUCGAACGAGAACCUUCGGGUUCUAGUGGCGAACGGGUGAGUAACACGUAGGCAACCUAUCCUCUAAUUGGGAAUAACAGUUGGAAACGACUGCUAAUACCGAAUAAAGAUUUAUCAUCGCAUGAAGAUAAAUUUAAAGGCGCCUUUAAAGCGUCGUUAGAGGAGGGGCCUGCGGCGCAUUAGCUAGUUGGUGAGAUAAUAGCCCACCAAGGCGAUGAUGCGUAGCCGGACUGAGAGGUUGAACGGCCACAUUGGGACUGAGAACGGCCCAAACUCCUACGGGAGGCAGCAGUAGAGAAUCUUCGGCAAUGGGGGAAACCCUGACCGAGCGAUACCGCGUGAAUGAUGAAGUAUUUCGGUAUGUAAAAUUCUUUUAUUUGGGAAGAACAUUAUUGAUGGGAAAUGAUCAGUAACUGACGGUACCAAAUGAAUAAGUCCCGGCUAACUAUGUGCCAGCAGCCGCGGUAAUACAUAGGGGACAAGCGUUAUCCGGAAUUAUUGGGCGUAAAGGGUGCGUAGGCGGUUUAUUAAGUUUGAAGUUUAAAUUCAGAGCUCAACUCUGUAUCGCUUCAAAAACUGGUAGACUAGAGUAAAGUAGAGGCAAGUGGAAUUCAAUGUGUAGUGGUAAAAUGCGUAAAUAUAUUGAGGAACACCAGUGGCGAAGGCGGCUUGCUGGGCUUUAACUGACGCUAAGGCACGAAAGCGUGGGGAGCAAACAGGAUUAGAUACCCUGGUAGUCCACGCCGUAAACGAUGAGUACUAGGUGUCGGAAUUAUUCGGUGCCGCAGUUAACGCAAUAAGUACUCCGCCUGAGUAGUACGUGCGCAAGCAUAAAACUCAAAGGAAUUGGCGGGACCUCGCACAAGCGGUGGAUCAUGUUGUUUAAUUCGAGGAUACGCGAAGAACCUUACCAAGUCUUGACAUCCCUGGCAAAGAUAUAGAAAUAUAUUGGAGGUUAUCCAGGUGACAGGUGGUGCAUGGUUGUCGUCAGCUCGUGUCGUGAGAUGUUGGGUUAAGUCCCGCAACGAGCGCAACUCCUAUCGUUAUUUACCAUCAUUAAGUUGGGGACUAUAACGAGACUGCCAGUGACAAACUGGAGGAAGGUGGGAACGACGUCAAAUCAUCAUGCCCCUUAUGAUUUGGGCUACAAACGUGAUACAAUGGUUGGUACAGAGGGAAGCGAGAGCGCGAGCUUAAGCAAACCCCAGAAAAACAAUCUCAGUUCGGAUUGGAGUCUGCAACUCGACUCCAUGAAGCCGGAAUCGCUAGUAAUCGCAGAUCAGAACGCUGCGGUGAAUACGUUCUCGAGGUU